AGCCUUUGGAGAGGAUUAAAGGUUAUACCUGCCCAAUGUUGUAUUAAUGGCCGCGGUACUUUGACCGUGCUAAGGUAGCACAAUCAAUUGGCCCUUAAUUAGGGUCAGGUAUGAAUGGAGUUACGGGGCUUAGCUGUCUCUAGACUAUUUAAUUGAAGUUGCUAUAUAGGUGAAAAAGCCUGUAUUAAGAAAAAAGACGAGAAGACCCUUAGAGUUUUACUUAAAAAAGAGUUAUUUCUUCACUAGUUUUGUUGGGGCAACAUAGGAGAAGAACCAAACCUCCUAAAGGGUAUAAACCGAUGUUUUUAAAUAUGAAUAAACUACCUUAGGGAUAACAGCAUAAUUUUAAAAAUAAGUUUGUGACCUCGAUGUUGGACUAGGAAACUUAAGGGCUAGCCGCCUUUUGGUAAGGUUCUGUUCGAACUAUAAUUCCU
This 434-nucleotide ribosomal RNA is filed under the name Chromodoris magnifica. RNAcentral's name for it is "partial 16S ribosomal RNA". It matches the Rfam family "Bacterial large subunit ribosomal RNA", at positions 1817 to 2597 of the family's 2925-position model. Lineage: Eukaryota; Metazoa; Mollusca; Gastropoda; Nudibranchia; Chromodorididae. The record is from RNAcentral.